Molecule: ribosomal RNA, 364 nt
Filed under: uncultured eukaryote
Lineage: Eukaryota
Description: partial 18S ribosomal RNA
Rfam family: Eukaryotic small subunit ribosomal RNA
Source: RNAcentral
CAAAAGCGUAUAUUAAAGUUGUUGCAGUUAAAAAGCUCGUAGUUGAACCUUGGGCUUGGCUGGCCGGUCCAUCUUUUUUGAUGCGUACUGGACCCAGUCGAGCCUUUCCUUCUGGCUAGCCUUUUGGCGAACCAGGACUUUUACUUUGAAAAAAUUAGAGUGUUCAAAGCAGGCCUUUGCUCGAAUAUAUUAGCAUGGAAUAAUAGAAUAGGACGUUAUGGUUCUAUUUUGUUGGUUUCUAGGACCAUCGUAAUGAUUAAUAGGGACGGUCGGGGGUAUCAGUAUUCAGUUGUCAGAGGUGAAAUUCUUGGAUUUACUGAAGACUAACUACUGCGAAAGCAUUUACCAAGGACGUUUUCAUUAA